Long non-coding RNA from Anolis carolinensis (green anole), 1046 nucleotides. RefSeq lists it as uncharacterized. The record is from RefSeq and is a predicted model, not a curated record. The transcript is spliced from 2 exons. Lineage: Eukaryota; Metazoa; Chordata; Lepidosauria; Squamata; Anolidae.
AAUCUCUGUGGGAAAAUAGCAAAUAACUAUUAGAAGAUAAAUAGUAAAAAAAAGUGCAUUACAACACAACAGUAGUCAGUGUUAUUCUUAUUUAAAAACUUGAGAUGUUUAAUCUAAGUUUCUCAGGGGUCAAUGCAUCCUGAGCAGUUUCAUAGAUUUGGUAGAGAUACUGCUUAGAUUUCCCUCAAAAUUCCUCAAAACAAGCAUGGGCAAACUUUGGCCCUACAGGUGUUUUGGACUUCAACUCUCACAAUUCCUAACAGCCUAUUGGAUGGUAGGAAUUGUGGAAGUUGAAAUCCAAAACACCUGGAGGGCCAAAGGUUGCCCAUUCCUGCCCUAAAAUAUUUGGUCUGAAAUGGAACCAUUAUUGUCAGAAGAAUUAUUCUAAAGAUGAGAUUUCUGUGACAACUGUGUCUAGUUAAUUUUGUGUGCAGUUAAUUCACAAAAGGCCUUAAAGACAUUACUUUGUGGGAGGGAGCAAGCUGUUCUGAUUUCCUCUCUUCCACUCUACUUAUGUCCUCUGAAAAUCUGCUCUAGAGCAUUGAUGGACUUCUGGAACAGUGUGGGAGGUGGUACUGGUGGGCUCCAGAUGGUGAAAGCAAUUGUAAAAAUUUCCUGCCUCUCUUUUAUAGCGGCAACAACAUUUUCUGUGGCAUUUGGCUCCAGAACAAUUCCAUCAGCUAAACAGAUCUCUGUAUAUAGUUCAAUAGUAUGAGAUAUUUCUGGUAAUACAUUGUGCAAAGCCGUUAUUCCACUUUUUUAUUCUAUUUCCCCACCUUAUUGGAAACUCACACAUUUUUUUUCAAGAAAUAGUUGUAGGAAUGCAUCAAAGGAGAUUGAGACCUAUAAGCAGCCUAUAAGAUUCUGAAGAUCUUGAGAGCAGGUGCUUCCCAGAUGCUAACUUGCAGGUAAACACAGUUGAAGACUCUUGAGUGAUGGCCACCAAAACUCUAUUUGAAGACCUCUGAAGAAGCAGACUCACCAUCCACACAGCCUAUUCCAUUGUGUAACAGUUCUUACUAUUAAAAAGAUUUCUGUAAUGUUUA